Molecule: transfer RNA, 78 nt
Filed under: Pseudomonadota bacterium
Lineage: Bacteria; Pseudomonadati; Pseudomonadota
Also listed under: 1 other name
Description: Proteobacteria bacterium tRNA-OTHER
Source: RNAcentral
UGUUUAGUAAAAUGUUUUAUUUUCAAAUUAAAUCUGAAAAUCCCUGUGUCGGUGGUUCAAUUCCACCCCUGGCCACCA